GGGACACGUGGUAUCCUGUCUGAAUAUGGGGGGACCAUCCUCCAAGGCUAAAUACUCCUGACUGACCGAUAGUGAACCAGUACCGUGAGGGAAAGGCGAAAAGAACCCCGGCGAGGGGAGUGAAAAAGAACCUGAAACCGUGUACGUACAAGCAGUGGGAGCCUCUUAAUGGGGUGACUGCGUACCUUUUGUAUAAUGGGUCAGCGACUUAUAUUCUGUAGCAAGGUUAACCGAAUAGGGGAGCCGAAGGGAAACCGAGUCUUAACUGGGCGCUAAGUUGCAGGGUAUAGACCCGAAACCCGGUGAUCUAGCCAUGGGCAGGUUGAAGGUUGGGUAACACUAACUGGAGGACCGAACCGACUAAUGUUGAAAAAUUAGCGGAUGACUUGUGGCUGGGGGUGAAAGGCCAAUCAAACCGGGAGAUAGCUGGUUCUCCCCGAAAGCUAUUUAGGUAGCGCCUCGUGAAUUCAUCUCCGGGGGUAGAGCACUGUUUCGGCAAGGGGGUCAUCCCGACUUACCAACCCGAUGCAAACUGCGAAUACCGGAGAAUGUUAUCACGGGAGACACACGGCGGGUGCUAACGUCCGUCGUGAAGAGGGAAACAACCCAGACCGCCAGCUAAGGUCCCAAAGUCAUGGUUAAGUGGGAAACGAUGUGGGAAGGCCCAGACAGCCAGGAUGUUGGCUUAGAAGCAGCCAUCAUUUAAAGAAAGCGUAAUAGCUCACUGGUCGAGUCGGCCUGCGCGGAAGAUGUAACGGGGCUAAACCAUGCACCGAAGCUGCGGCAGCGACACUAUGUGUUGUUGGGUAGGGGAGCGUUCUGUAAGCCUGUGAAGGUGGCCUGUGAGGGUUGCUGGAGGUAUCAGAAGUGCGAAUGCUGACAUAAGUAACGAUAAAGCGGGUGAAAAGCCCGCUCGCCGGAAGACCAAGGGUUCCUGUCCAACGUUAAUCGGGGCAGGGUGAGUCGACCCCUAAGGCGAGGCCGAAAGGCGUAGUCGAUGGGAAACAGGUUAAUAUUCCUGUACUUGGUGUUACUGCGAAGGGGGGACGGAGAAGGCUAUGUUGGCCGGGCGACGGUUGUCCCGGUUUAAGCGUGUAGGCUGGUUUUCCAGGCAAAUCCGGAAAACCAAGGCUGAGGCGUGAUGACGAGGCACUACGGUGCUGAAGCGACAAAUGCCCUGCUUCCAGGAAAAGCCUCUAAGCAUCAGGUAACAUCAAAUCGUACCCCAAACCGACACAGGUGGUCAGGUAGAGAAUACCAAGGCGCUUGAGAGAACUCGGGUGAAGGAACUAGGCAAAAUGGUGCCGUAACUUCGGGAGAAGGCACGCUGAUAUGUAGGUGAAGCGACUUGCUCGUGGAGCUGAAAUCAGUCGAAGAUACCAGCUGGCUGCAACUGUUUAUUAAAAACACAGCACUGUGCAAACACGAAAGUGGACGUAUACGGUGUGACGCCUGCCCGGUGCCGGAAGGUUAAUUGAUGGGGUUAGCGGCAACGCGAAGCUCUUGAUCGAAGCCCCGGUAAACGGCGGCCG
This 1532-nucleotide ribosomal RNA is filed under the name Escherichia coli. RNAcentral describes it as "partial 23S ribosomal RNA". It matches the Rfam family "Bacterial large subunit ribosomal RNA", at positions 419 to 1936 of the family's 2925-position model. The record is from RNAcentral. Lineage: Bacteria; Pseudomonadati; Pseudomonadota; Gammaproteobacteria; Enterobacterales; Enterobacteriaceae.